Papaver somniferum (opium poppy) is the source of this 204-nucleotide long non-coding RNA. RefSeq lists it as uncharacterized. The record is from RefSeq and is a predicted model, not a curated record. NCBI's taxonomy places the organism in Eukaryota, Viridiplantae, Streptophyta, Magnoliopsida, Ranunculales, Papaveraceae. The transcript has 3 exons.
UUCCAAUGUCAUCCCCAACAGCGUGUGUGAUGACAUGCCUGGCAGAAAAAGAAGUAGAGUACGAACUUGUCAAUGUUGACCUUUCCAAAGGAGAACACAAGUUCCCAGCUUAUCUCGCCAAAAAUCCAUUUGGUCAGAUACCAGUUUUGGAAGAUGGAUCUGUCACACUUUUUGAAUCUCGUGCACUUACCCGAUACAUAGCCC